Molecule: ribosomal RNA, 450 nt
Filed under: uncultured Glomeromycotina
Lineage: Eukaryota; Fungi; Glomeromycota
Description: SSU rRNA
Rfam family: Eukaryotic small subunit ribosomal RNA
Source: RNAcentral
AGCAGCCGCGGUAAUUCCAGCUCCAAUAGCGUAUAUUAAAGUUGUUGCAGUUAAAAAGCUCGUAGUUGAAUUUCGGGGUUAGCAGGUCGGUCGUGCCAAUGGUAUGCACUGGCCUUGCUGAUUCCUCCCUCUUGAUGAGCCGUAAUGCCAUUAAUUUGGUGUUGCGGGGAAUCAGGACUGUUACUUUGAAAAAAUUAGAGUGUUUAAAGCAGGCAAGCGCUUGAAUACAUUAGCAUGGAAUAAUGAAAUAGGACGUUUGAUCCUAUUUUGUUGGUUUCUAGGAUUGACGUAAUGAUUAAUAGGGAUAGUUGGGGGCAUUAGUAUUCAAUUGUCAGAGGUGAAAUUCUUGGAUUUAUUGAAGACUAACUACUGCGAAAGCAUUUGCCAAGGAUGUUUUCAUUAAUCAAGAACGAAAGUUAGGGGAUCGAAGACGAUCAGAUACCGUCGUAG